This 70-nucleotide transfer RNA is filed under the name Coilia grayii (Gray's grenadier anchovy). RNAcentral's name for it is "tRNA-His". It matches the Rfam family "tRNA". Rfam says of the family: Transfer RNA (tRNA) molecules are approximately 80 nucleotides in length. The record is from RNAcentral. Lineage: Eukaryota; Metazoa; Chordata; Actinopteri; Clupeiformes; Engraulidae. RNAcentral also lists the same sequence under 1 other name.
GCAGACGUAGUUUACUUAAAAACGUUGGAUUGUGAUUCCAAAAAAGGGGGUUAGAUUCCCCUCGUCCGCC